This is a long non-coding RNA of Mus musculus (house mouse), 292 nucleotides long. RefSeq annotates it as predicted gene, 40746. NCBI's taxonomy places the organism in Eukaryota, Metazoa, Chordata, Mammalia, Rodentia, Muridae. The record is from RefSeq and is a predicted model, not a curated record. The transcript is spliced from 3 exons.
CUGUGUGACCUACACUGAGUUACCAAUGCUCACACAACCCCAUCCCUCAUCUGCUUAGUGGGUAAAUAUGAAAGCAGUUUCGAAUUCUUCUGAAGAUGAGAUGGAUGCUAACGUGCAGCCACUGCAAUAGCCUGGUAUACACAGCCGCCCCACCCCCUUGAAAGAGAGGAUCAGUCAACAAUGGGGCCAUACCAAGAGAUGCAUAGUGCCUGAUGCCAAUCAAUUAACUGCCAGGCCCAAGAAAAAUGGAAGAAUGAGGGCCACAACCAGUUUAUCAAGAGUUCUUCAUGUA